This 274-nucleotide ribosomal RNA is filed under the name uncultured bacterium. RNAcentral's name for it is "partial 16S ribosomal RNA". It matches the Rfam family "Bacterial small subunit ribosomal RNA", at positions 523 to 796 of the family's 1533-position model. The record is from RNAcentral.
AUACUGGGGGUGCAAGCGUUAAUCGGAAUUACAGGGCGUAAAGCGCACGUAGGCGGUUUAUUAAGUCAGAUGUGAAAGCCCUGGGCUUAACCUGGGAACUGCAUUUGAGACUGGUAGGCUAGAGUAUGGUAGAGGAUAGUGGAAUUCCGGGUGUAGCGGUGAAAUGCGUAGAUAUCCGGAGGAACAUCAGUGGCGAAGGCGGCUAUCUGGACCAAUACUGACGCUGAGGUGCGAAAGCGUGGGGAGCAAACAGGAUUAGAAACCCUUGUAGUCC